GGAAAUGGAAGAGGAGGUCUUCUUGGCCACACCCAAAUUGUGUGAUGCUUUGCCUUGGGAAGCUCAGAUGACUCCCUCUCUUGCUAUCUUGUACUGGUAUAAGAAAUGGUGAUUAAUGACUACUGCGAUCAUCAGCAACUUUCCUGGAAUCAUAAAAAGCUGGACAGUCCAUUAGUGAAGCUGAGAAAUGGACGUUAAACAGGGGAACAACAGGGAGCUAAAUGAACUGUCUUAUCUACAGAUGCAGUGAAGCAUUGCAAUGUAAUCUACACAGAGAUGAACAUUUCAUUCUAAGAAGACAAGCUUAUCUGAGCUGUAACCUGCGAAUCCAAUUG
This is a long non-coding RNA of Rhineura floridana, 335 nucleotides long. RefSeq lists it as uncharacterized. The transcript is spliced from 3 exons. Lineage: Eukaryota; Metazoa; Chordata; Lepidosauria; Squamata; Rhineuridae. The record is from RefSeq and is a predicted model, not a curated record.